RNAcentral lists this ribosomal RNA (506 nucleotides) under uncultured bacterium. Its description in RNAcentral is "partial 16S ribosomal RNA". It matches the Rfam family "Bacterial small subunit ribosomal RNA", at positions 28 to 523 of the family's 1533-position model. The record is from RNAcentral.
GAUGAACGCUAGCUACAGGCUUAACACAUGCAAGUCGAGGGGUAACGAGAGGGAAGCUUGCUUUCCUUGUCGACGACCGGCGCACGGGUGAGUAACGCGUAUCCAACCUGCCCCCAACUAGGGAAUAACCUUGCGAAAGUAAGACUAAUACCCUAUAAUUUCCUCAGAUGUCAUCUGACGAGGAGUAAAGAUUUAUCGGUUGUGGAUGGGGAUGCGUCUGAUUAGCUUGUUGGCGGGGUAACGGCCCACCAAGGCAACGAUCAGUAGGGGUUCUGAGAGGAAGGUCCCCCAAAUUGGAACUGAGACACGGUCCAAACUCCUACGGGAGGCAGCAGUGAGGAAUAUUGGUCAAUGGGCGGAAGCCUGAACCAGCCAAGUAGCGUGCGGGAUGACGGCCCUAUAGGUUGUAAACUGCUUUUAUACAGGAAUAAAGUUAGCCACGUGUGGUUAUUUGUAGGUACUGUAUGAAUAAGGACCGGCUAAUUCCGUGCCAGCCGCCGCAGUAA